This 291-nucleotide ribosomal RNA is filed under the name uncultured prokaryote. RNAcentral describes it as "partial 16S ribosomal RNA". It matches the Rfam family "Bacterial small subunit ribosomal RNA", at positions 505 to 796 of the family's 1533-position model. The record is from RNAcentral.
GUGUCAGCAGCCGCGGUAAUACGUAGGUGGCAAGCGUUGUCCGGAUUUAUUGGGCGUAAAGAGCGCGCAGGCGGCUAUGUAAGUCUGGUGUUAAAGCCCGGGGCUCAACCCCGGUUCGCAUCGGAAACUGCGUAGCUUGAGUGCAGAAGAGGAAAGCGGUAUUCCACGUGUAGCGGUGAAAUGCGUAGAGAUGUGGAGGAACACCAGUGGCGAAGGCGGCUUUCUGGUCUGUAACUGACGCUGAGGCGCGAAAGCGUGGGGAGCAAACAGGAUUAGAUACCCCUGUAGUCC